This 243-nucleotide small RNA is filed under the name Pan troglodytes (chimpanzee). RNAcentral describes it as "retained intron". Lineage: Eukaryota; Metazoa; Chordata; Mammalia; Primates; Hominidae. The record is from RNAcentral.
CUUUUAACCAAUAGUAUAUCUUAAAAGUUAGUACUGUAUUCCUUUGAUUUAUGCAUUAUUAAUGUUAAGAUUUCUUUUUUUUAGGAUAAAGGAUUUGUAGUUGAAGUAAAUACUACUUUUGAAGAUUUUGUGGCGAUAAUCAGUUCAACUAAAAGAUCAACUACAUUAGAUGCUGGAAAUAUCAAAUUGGCUUUCAAUAGUUUACUAGAAAAGGCAGAAGCCCGUGAACGUGAAAGAGAAAAA